RNAcentral lists this long non-coding RNA (395 nucleotides) under Nicotiana benthamiana. RNAcentral describes it as "long non-coding RNA (NBEN_LNC033878)". Lineage: Eukaryota; Viridiplantae; Streptophyta; Magnoliopsida; Solanales; Solanaceae. The record is from RNAcentral.
GGUUGUCAUAUCUCUCAUUUAAGCCAUUCCACAAGAUAGGUGGAUCUUUGACUGUGAUAUAUACAAUUUUCAAUCCUUCAUCAAGGUGAUGGCGCAAGAAAAUCAAAGGCUGCGCAAGAAAAUCAAGGCCUUAGCACAGUUUCAAACCUUCAUCAAGGUGAUGGCGCAAGAAAAUCAAGGCCUUAGCAUAGUCUUGGGUGGAUGCAUUAUUUCUGUCUUUGAUGGCGUCUCCAAGACCCAUUGCAUCCAAAUGGAUUUCAACAUCCAACACCCAUGUUAUAUAGUUCUUGCCCGAGAUUUCAAGGGCAACGAACUUUCUUUUCAUAAUAUGAUACAUGAAACAAAAUUACAUCAAGAGCGUGUUCAUACUUACGGGCUUUAUUAUCACAUUCACU